GCGUNNNCCUAUNAUGCNAGUCGAGCGAAUGGAUUAAGAGCUUGCUCUUAUGAAGUUAGCGGCGGACGGGUGAGUAACACGUGGGUAACCUGCCCAUAAGNCUGGNAUANCUCCUUAAAACCGGGGCUAAUACCGGAUAACAUUUUGAACCGCAUGGUUCGAAAUUGAAAGGCGGCUUCGGCUGUCACUUAUGGAUGGACCCGCGUCGCAUUAGCUAGUUGGUGAGGUAACGGCUCACCAAGGCAACGAUGCGUAGCCGACCUGAGAGGGUGAUCGGCCACACUGGGACUGAGACACGGCCCAGACUCCUACGGGAGGCAGCAGUAGGGAAUCUUCCGCAAUGGACGAAAGUCUGACGGAGCAACGCCGCGUGAGUGAUGAAGGCUUUCGGGUCGUAAAACUCUGUUGUUAGGGAAGAACAAGUGCUAGUUGAAUAAGCUGGCACCUUGACGGUACCUAACCAGAAAGCCACGGCUAACUACGUGCCAGCAGCCGCGGUAAUACGUAGGUGGCAAGCGUUAUCCGGAAUUAUUGGGCGUAAAGCGCGCGCAGGUGGUUUCUUAAGUCUGAUGUGAAAGCCCACGGCUCAACCGUGGAGGGUCAUUGGAAACUGGGAGACUUGAGUGCAGAAGAGGAAAGUGGAAUUCCAUGUGUAGCGGUGAAAUGCGUAGAGAUAUGGAGGAACACCAGUGGCGAAGGCGACUUUCUGGUCUGUAACUGACACUGAGGCGCGAAAGCGUGGGGAGCAAACAGGAUUANAUACCCUGGUAGUCCACGCCGUAAACGAUGAGUGCUAAGUGUUANAGGGUUUCCGCCCUUUAGUGCUGAAGUUAACGCAUUAAGCACUCCCCCCUGGGGNAGUACCGCCCGCAGGNCUGAAACUCAAAGGAAAUUGACNGGGCCCCCNACAAACGGUGGGAACAUU
Molecule: ribosomal RNA, 925 nt
Filed under: Bacillus cereus
Lineage: Bacteria; Bacillati; Bacillota; Bacilli; Caryophanales; Bacillaceae
Description: bacterial SSU rRNA
Rfam family: Bacterial small subunit ribosomal RNA
Source: RNAcentral